UACGAAGGAUCCUAGCGUUAUCCGGAAUUAUUGGGUUUAAAGGGUCCGCAGGCGGGCUAUUAAGUCAGCGGUGAAAUUUCUCGGCUCAACCGGGAGCUUGCCGUUGAAACUGGUAGUCUAGAGUAGCUGUGAGGUGGUUGGAACGUGCAGCGUAGCGGUGAAAUGCAUAGAUAUUGCACAGAAUACCUAUUGCGAAAGCAGAUCACUAACAGUUGACUGACGCUCAUGGACGAAAGCGUGGAUAGCAAACAGG
Molecule: ribosomal RNA, 253 nt
Filed under: uncultured bacterium
Lineage: Bacteria
Description: partial 16S ribosomal RNA
Rfam family: Bacterial small subunit ribosomal RNA
Source: RNAcentral